CAGUUCGUAUGCAGCCAUCUACAAGACAAGGUAUUUGUAACUCGUUUCCACAACGAAAAUACAGUGCAACCCUCGACUCGAGAAGAAUUUUCCUCCCUCCGGCUUACCAGUCAAGAGCUAUGGAAAAGACAACACUCUUAAGAAGGCUGUCUAAACGAUGAUGAUGCUCAUAAUGGAAGUUGCGCAUCUCUCUAGCAACAUCAUCGAUCGAAGAUUAUGGAAAUUAUUCAUACGACCCACAGUUAACAAAGUUGACUUAAGACGUAGACAUCGACAUCAACAAGGCACAGAAGACGUCAGCGAUUUAUCAUCAGUGUCCGGAGAGGUCGUGUGGUAGUGUUGGGGUAAAAUCUCGCGUAACCGAUUU
Macrobrachium nipponense is the source of this 367-nucleotide long non-coding RNA. RefSeq lists it as uncharacterized. Lineage: Eukaryota; Metazoa; Arthropoda; Malacostraca; Decapoda; Palaemonidae. The transcript is spliced from 4 exons. The record is from RefSeq and is a predicted model, not a curated record.